AUAAAAUAAAAAUGUGGAAAGGGCGAUCCAUGCUUACUGUAUCUUCAUUAUCAAGGAAGGAACUGAGCAGAGGUUAUUCUUUCACACUCUUGAAAUCCUCAGGUGAGGAAGCAGCCCGCAAACAUGGAGAUUUCAAGCAACAGUCACCGUUCCACCCCAGGGAGGCUCCAACUUAACUGUGCGGGUCCCCGCGCCGGGCGGCCUCUCGGCGGGCUGCGCCCCGGUGUCGGGCGGCGGGAGGAGGGGGGGGCCUCGGCCCGCAGGACUCCGCCGCCGCCGCCGCGGCCUGGCAUUCGGGUCCGCCAGGGCCAGGCCUGCACCAAUCACAGGCAGGGCCGGGCGGCGGGGCGCGAGCGCGCGCGGCCUGCUCCCCUCCCCCGCCGCCCGCUCGCCGCCGGCCUCGCCGCGGCCGCCGCACGUCACUGCGCGCCGCAGCAGGCCCCGCGCGCCGAGCAGGCGCACCCGCCGCGCCGAGGCCGCUGCCCUCGCUCUGCCCGCGCCGCCGAGCGCGCCUGUGCGCGGCGGGGGGAGCGGGGAGGGGGCCCGGGCGGGCCGAGCGCCAGGCUGGGGCCGGGGGAGCCGCCUCGGAGCUGGUCCCGCGCCGCCCGCUCUCCUUCCGCCCUCACGGCCGGCCGGCGCGGGGCUCGGACCCGGCACUGCGGGACGGGACGGCGGCUCCGCGCCCCGGGGUCACGGCCGGGCACUGCCACACCGCAGUUCGGGGUAAAAAGUACAACUUCUUGUCUCCCACAGACACAGAAGAAAGCAUCGCAUUGGGGCGUUUGUUCUCCCCUGAAACAAGGGAAGGCCAGCCUAAUUUCUAACUUAGUUGGCUGCCACUUCCAGCUCUGCAUAUACAUUUCAAAGAGGAUACAAAAGCACAGGUGGACGCAAAAAGUGUCAAACGGGCAUCAGAAAUCCCAGUGACCUGGUGCAGCACCCCUGUCCUCAUCCGCAACCAAUAAGGUACCUCAGCAAGGACCUCACCACAGGAUCAUACAGCACUGCAAUAUUAAAGCCAUGGGUGUGGGGGAUUUAAAAUACAUUGUUGCCCAUAUGACAGUCUCAAGAAUACAACUAACAUAAGAAAACCUUGCCUGCUAAUAAAUUGGAAGAAACUACAGGCACAGAUGUGAUGGUGAACAGCAUCACUUUUUUCAUUAUUUUCAGUGUAUCCACAUGAUUGCCAAUCUCCAUCCAAGCAGUACUCUUAGUAAAAUAGUGGCUAGUCCAGCAAUGAACAACAUAAAAAAAUUCUUCAAGAGAACUCAUCCCUAUGGAAGAUGCUCAUCCCUAAGGAAGUGUAGGCCAUAAGCAUUUAUCACAUCCAGCUGACCAUUAAACUGAUGAAAUCCACUUAUAGUUAACACUAUGUACAUACAUAAAAUACAUGCAAAACCCACACAGUCUGCCUCUUAAUGGAGUAUUAAAAAAUAAAUAAGAACUAAAAUCUCAGUCUUAGGUCUCUGAAACCUACAUUCUGUAACUAAAAUGUCCAUGUUUAACUAGAUUUAGAACCACUGGGAAACUUACUCUCCCCCUGUCCACAUAGUGGACUUUUGCCUCAAAUUAAGCAAUGUGGAUUCAAUUCCCAUCUAGGUAGCAUUUUUUUUGUCUUAACUGCAAGAUGUAGCAAAACAGUGUGUUACAGUAUCCGUAGGAUCUUGCUAGAAUAAAUAUAUCUUAGUCCCCACAUGACUAAAUUGUUCAACACCUGGAAAUGGCAUACACUUACAAUAUGCACAGAUUUUUAAAUCUAGGGGAGCCAAUCAUGUCUAUUCUCCGACUGACCCAGAUGGGCUGUACACCUGAAUUCUUCUAAGCUGCUUCUGCUCAAAGCUAAGGGUACGGUAGCGUAGACACACCUCUAAUUUAGAAACCAACCUGUUAAAUAGGUGCACAAAUUGUUUUCAACAUAUAUUUGCACUGAGUUGGUCAGCUUUCAAACACCAUUAAGGACAUAAUAAUCAACUGUUGGUUUUUUUAAUAUGUAACAGGAACAUAAGUAACUCAAAGAAAUGAAUCUUUGUUUUAUAAAGUUUUGCCUUUACAGUUACAUUUGACAUGAAUUUUGUUUAUGGACCGUGGGAUUCAGCUGCCUAUAAGUCUAAUGGGAUGUCCAAGAUGUUUGAAUGAGUGGAAAAAUAACUAAAAAGGUAAUCAUAAAACUGCAUACUUGGAAAAGUGAGAGAGAGAACAUCUUACAAGGUGAUACAAUAAAAAAAAAAAACAGAGACAAUUAUCCCUUUUCCUCAACAAAAUCCCAUCUGUGCUGGGUUCCCCCUUCUGAAAUAUCGAUGGAAAGCUCACAGCAAAAAGUAGCGACAAGCAACAACAAGGCUACCGCCAACAGUGUGACACAACAUACAGCAUCAGAACCAACACGCAUUAUCUGCAGAGUAAGGGAGCUAUUACAAAGAAAGUACUGGUCAGGAGCACAGAAUAAAAAAAAAAAAAGCAGCAAGAAAGCCGCCACCAUCACACCAAAGCAAAGCUAAGAUACCAGUGAUCACGGGUAUCCAAACAUCAAAAGUCACAGCACCAAAUCAGAAAGAAUAUACAAAAGCCAAAACACCACUCUGUACAUCAAUUCAGAAUGUUUAUACCUGACAGGGAAGUAGCACAUCAUAAUAACCAUAACUAGCAGAAGACCAGACUUGCCCUUUGCCCUUCAGCUAACAACACAAACAUUCCAAAGAACUGUGGAGCUUCUUGGCUCUUCAGGUAAGAGGCAGACAUCCAAAGCAUGAUGAUGUAAUCAGAAAGGUAUGUAGAAUUGUAAUGCUUACUUUAAAUGACACCACAGUAUCUCAAGCACUUCCUUCACUUUUUUUUUUCUUUUACAUACCACUGCCUGACGUUAACAUUGAUGAUUUGACCAUGAGCGAUUAAGCAAAACAGGAGCACUGCCUAUCCCUCUGAGUGAUGUCCUGCAACUCUUGAUUUGCCUGAAGAACAAAGAACGGAGAAGUCUGAACAGGAAAGCUUCAUUCUCUGUGAAAAUUUCAUUUUAAAUUUAAGCAGCGUGAGCACAUACCUCCAGAUAGCUCUUCUCUUGCCAGCACCAAGUAUAUCUGACAGGAUUGCCUCAUCUCUUUCUCCUUUUUCUUUGCAAAGGGAGAGGUGGAAUAGGAAACCAAGCACUCAAAUUCUACAGUUACCCACAGAUUGGUGAAUGGAGCCAGAGGUCAGUAGCAACCAGAGGUUUUUUUUUAGUUAUGGCACUACUGGAGGCUAAAAAUGAUGGAAAAAUUAUUUCAUGGACAAAAUUCUGAUACACUUGCACUUGCCUUUCUGGGGUCUUAGCUUAAACUCAUAGCCUAGGAUCUAACCACCACAGUUUCUGUUAUGAUUCAAAUGAUGACAGACAAAUAUUUGCACGUAUUUCUGAUAGAAACUGAAAAGGAACUGGAUGAUUAGUAGGAUACUUUCACUGAACGUGCCUAUAGAAAGGACAGUCAGUCACACAAGUAAAAGUAAUGUAAUUCUUCCAUGCUCCAUCCUCUGGUGAGACAAGAUGCUUCUUCAAGUUGAUUGUGUGGAUGUUAAAGUAUGAAUAUUUUAUAUUUGUGCUUUAAUCAGCAAGAAAAUUAUUAAUGCUGACAUGUAAAGGCAUUGUUCUCGGCUGUGCAGAGCCUCAGAGGACAUUAUAAUGCAGGUUUACAAGCAGACCAUGUUCAGAAAAUCUUUGAUUCUUUUUCAAUGAAUUCUGGUGAAUGCAUUUUCAGCUAUUCAUGAAAAAUUACUCCAUCAUUCAGUGAUUUAACAAUUUACAAAUCUGCCCUCAAUAUCUUCAAGGCCCAGACUGAAAUGCCUACUGGUUUCUUACAGUAGUAGAAGUAAAAUUGGUGAAACCUACCCACUUUAGAUUGUUACCAGAAAAC
RNAcentral lists this long non-coding RNA (3884 nucleotides) under Gallus gallus (chicken). Lineage: Eukaryota; Metazoa; Chordata; Aves; Galliformes; Phasianidae. The record is from RNAcentral.